Molecule: long non-coding RNA, 210 nt
Organism: Ochotona princeps (American pika)
Lineage: Eukaryota; Metazoa; Chordata; Mammalia; Lagomorpha; Ochotonidae
Exons: 3
Source: RefSeq, a predicted model, not a curated record
AAACAGAAUCAAUGAUCUUGAAAAAGAACUUCAAAGAACAUUUCAUUAUUACCAGGAAGAGAUUGUUUCUGUUCAGAAAGAAACCCACAAUAAUUGGUUGGCAGCUUGUAUUGCUAAAAGAAGCCUGAAUGACUUGAAGCAAGAAAAUAAAAGGAAAAUGUAAGUAUAUCAGUGAUAACACUUGACAACUCUGGCUACUUUAUUCUGCUU